RNAcentral lists this ribosomal RNA (120 nucleotides) under Pseudomonas fluorescens. RNAcentral also lists the same sequence under 2 other names. Lineage: Bacteria; Pseudomonadati; Pseudomonadota; Gammaproteobacteria; Pseudomonadales; Pseudomonadaceae. The record is from RNAcentral.
UUCUUGACGACCAUAGAGCGUUGGAACCACCUGAUCCCAUCCCGAACUCAGCAGUGAAACGAUGCAUCGCCGAUGGUAGUGUGGGGUUUCCCCAUGUGAGAGUAGGUCAUCGUCAAGAUU